AACGAACGCUGGCGGCAUGCCUAACACAUACAAGUCGAACGAGACCUUCGGGUCUAGUGGCGCACGGGUGCGUAACGCGUGGGAACCUGCCCUUAGGUUCGGAAUAACUCCCCGAAAGGGGUGCUAAUACCGGAUAAUGUCUUCGGACCAAAGAUUUAUCGCCUUUGGAUGGGCCCGCGUUGGAUUAGCUAGUUGGUAGGGUAAAAGCCUACCAAGGCGACGAUCCAUAGCUGGUCUGAGAGGAUGAUCAGCCACACUUGGACUGAGACACGGCCCAGACUCCUACGCGAGGCAGCAGUGGGGAAUAUUGGACAAUGGGCGAAAGCCUGAUCCAGCAAUGCCGCGUGAGUGAUGAAGGCCUUAGGGUUGUAAAGCUCUUUUACCCGGGAUGAUAAUGACAGUACCGGGAGAAUAAGCUCCGGCUAACUCCGUG
Molecule: ribosomal RNA, 433 nt
Filed under: uncultured bacterium
Lineage: Bacteria
Description: partial 16S ribosomal RNA
Rfam family: Bacterial small subunit ribosomal RNA
Source: RNAcentral